RNAcentral lists this ribosomal RNA (410 nucleotides) under uncultured microorganism. RNAcentral describes it as "bacterial SSU rRNA". It matches the Rfam family "Bacterial small subunit ribosomal RNA", at positions 9 to 416 of the family's 1533-position model. The record is from RNAcentral.
GAGUUUGAUCAUGGCUCAGAUUGAACGCUGGCGGCAUGCCUUACACAUGCAAGUCGAACGGCAGCAUGAUCUAGCUUGCUAGAUUGAUGGCGAGUGGCGAACGGAUGAGUAAUACAUCGGAACGUGCCCUGUAGUGGGGGAUAACUAGUCGAAAGAUUAGCUAAUACCGCAUACGACCUGAGGGUGAAAGUGGGGACCGCAAGGCCUCAUGCUAUAGGAGCGGCCGAUGUCUGAUUAGCUAGUUGGUGGGGUAAAGGCCCACCAAGGCGACGAUCAGUAGCUGGUCUGAGAGGACGAUCAGCCACACUGGGACUGAGACACGGCCCAGACUCCUACGGGAGGCAGCAGUGGGGAAUUUUGGACAAUGGGCGAAAGCCUGAUCCAGCAAUGCCGCGUGUGUGAAGAAGGCC